This 1184-nucleotide long non-coding RNA is filed under the name Homo sapiens (human). RNAcentral describes it as "non-protein coding LINC02369:24". The record is from RNAcentral. Lineage: Eukaryota; Metazoa; Chordata; Mammalia; Primates; Hominidae.
CUUCCACCGGGCCUCUUGGGCUGUGUACUCUUGACACUCUUGCUCUGAGAACUAAGCAGGCAUAUUUCAUAUCAAAAUAGUAAAGAACUUCCUUUCCAAAGGCAGGACUUGCUUCUGUGAGGUACUGAGCCACCCGUCCCUGGAGGAAAGCAAGAACAGAGCAGAUCAGAGCCCAGGCAGACAUCUUGGAUGAUGGGGUACAUCUUGCCAUCCAGAGGCAAUGCUGGAGCGGGCAGUUGUCUGCGGGGAGGCCCUGGCUCACUCUGGGCCAAAUAACAGGACUGAUUGCAGCCUGCGAUGAAACAUCCUGUUUCUCCCAACCAGAAACAGGUAGAGAAGUCAGCAUUUUACAUGAUUCUGGGAGGGAAGAAAGGAGACAGGAACCAAGGAGCCUGAGUGGGGAUUUGCCCACCACUGGGCAGCCAGGCUCCCGUCAGGAAGGCUUUUCAGAGGGAGUGUUGGAAGGAGUCGUCGAGGAGUCUUCCUCACCCAGGAAGUCUUCCUCACCGGGUGAGCCCCAACCUGCUGGACCUGCUCAGAAUUUGCCCAACAGGGGAUCCUGGUUGACUGAGGUCUGCUAAUUCCAACUGGCCUACGCUAAAUUCUCCCAGAAUGUCUUCAUCAUCAAUGAAUCGCUUUCCACUGACACGACGCCUGGAAGAACAUAAACACUGUGAGGAUAAAUGCCAAUGAAAUAAUAAUAAAAUAAACUUUCUUUGGUGGCCAGAGGGAAACAGAAUGCCUACCCAUUUCCCCACCCCCCGCCCCGCCGCUGCCCCUUGCAGGAUUUCUUUUAGAAAACUAGUAUUUGUAAAUCAUUUUCCUACCUAUUGGAGAUGAGUGCCAACCUUUUUAAAGGCCAAGUGAGCCUCUUUUUUUAAUACUCUAGGAAUGCGUCUUGGAGGGGUUGCAGUCAUCUUUUUGGGAUCUGAACAUUCAUUCACAGCUGUCAGCUUAUGUCCUUGUAUCUGACGGCACUGACCUAGGUGCAUGGCUGCCAGAAGUAACUUCCUGCUUGUCACAAAAAUGCAAUCUCCUGCCUGCCCCUGAUUCUCCCCAGCCCUGGCUUUGGAUAAAGACAAUUAAUAUGAACGUGAUGAAUUGCGUCUCUCUGGCUAUGUAAAAAAGGGAUAUUUAUUUCCACUUUUGACUCUAAAACUUUGAGUUUGUUUGUUAACAUGGCA